UCUCUCUCUCUCUUUCUCUAUGUAUCCCAGUGACACCCGAGGGCCACUUCACCUAGCAACGGAGGACCACUUCACCUAGCAACAGCUUCUUUCCUGUCCUUUGGCCCGAAAGGCGGUGUUUCUUUCCUUCAAACCCAUUCAAAUUGUUUCAAACUGAAGUCAAUGUCAGAACGUCGUGGGUUCACAGGUCUGUGGCACUAAAUUCACAGUGGAUAAAUGCUGAGCGCCGGAAGAGCAACUACGAUCUCAGAAAAGGACCUCCCCGUUCCCCAAAACGGCAUACGUCCAAACAACUUGGAGGCGCAUUGCUUGAGAGCAACGCCAAGCAGCUUUGCAACCCUCUCCUGUGCGCGGGACACCGAUAUACACAAACAGACACACACUUUCCUCGGGCCCAUCCUUCUUCUGAGAAGCAGGCACGGUAUUGUAUAAAAUAGCACAGCAUUUCAACGGCAUGUACAGGUUGUGCCUGGAGUGGCAAAGGGGGAAAUAAAGAUGUUUUCCUGGGUAUACACACUA
This is a long non-coding RNA of Anolis carolinensis (green anole), 519 nucleotides long. RefSeq lists it as uncharacterized. The transcript has 2 exons. The record is from RefSeq and is a predicted model, not a curated record. NCBI's taxonomy places the organism in Eukaryota, Metazoa, Chordata, Lepidosauria, Squamata, Anolidae.